CUGACCUCGGUUCAGAG
Molecule: ribosomal RNA, 17 nt
Filed under: Echinostoma friedi
Lineage: Eukaryota; Metazoa; Platyhelminthes; Trematoda; Plagiorchiida; Echinostomatidae
Description: partial 28S ribosomal RNA
Source: RNAcentral